ACACCUCAACUCUCAUGGUUUGCCAUGAUGAGCUUGGACUUUGGGGGUCUUGCUGGCCUAUGGUCAGCUCCUCUCAAAUGAAUCAGCUUGCCAGUGUUUGGUGGCAUCGCGGGUGUGAUAACUAUCUACACUUGUGGUUUUCCACCAGAUAACCUUCAGUGAUGAAGGUUCGCUGGAGCUCACAAACGUCUCUCCUCGGUGAGGACAGCUUUCUGAAC
This 218-nucleotide unclassified non-coding RNA is filed under the name uncultured Tomentella. Its description in RNAcentral is "sequence contains ITS2". Lineage: Eukaryota; Fungi; Basidiomycota; Agaricomycetes; Thelephorales; Thelephoraceae. The record is from RNAcentral.